UAGAGUCGCGACAUAGUCUAUUAACAUAAGCUUUAAUCUUUGGUAUAUUAGCAAAUCUUCCAGAUUGAAGUUAGCAGUUUAUGGAGAGAAAAUAAAAUUCUUUCUGUAUAUUCGCCUAAUAAGACCACUCAAGUCUUUAGCACUGAAUAAUAAAAAGUGUCACAAAUCUUUGAACUAUGGUAAAACUCCCAAUUACAAUUACUUAAGUUCGCACUCCUAAAACAGCAUUACCCGUAGAAUAAAUUGAAAAAAAAGUAU
Molecule: non-coding RNA, 258 nt
Organism: Schizosaccharomyces pombe (fission yeast)
Lineage: Eukaryota; Fungi; Ascomycota; Schizosaccharomycetes; Schizosaccharomycetales; Schizosaccharomycetaceae
Source: the annotation of a GenBank genome assembly